Non-coding RNA from Camellia sinensis, 1077 nucleotides. NCBI's taxonomy places the organism in Eukaryota, Viridiplantae, Streptophyta, Magnoliopsida, Ericales, Theaceae. The record is from RefSeq and is a predicted model, not a curated record.
CAAUUAUUGCUUCUAUGCUGCUGCCAAUCACAUUCGUCGAGGUGAAUUGCAUUGAUUUUGUUGUCUAUCUGAGUUCAUUUGUGGAAAUACAUGAAUAGUGUAUUUAAUGUUUUCUUUAAGAAAUAUAGUUGAACAUAUAAUUACAAAGCAAUGUACAACUACUACAUUUCUAAACCUUGUGGAAGUUGAUUAUUGUCCUACCGUGUAUAAAAUGAAUUGUUUUGUGUUUCCAAAAAUAGAUCUGCUUUUGAAUUUGUGGUAUCAACAUAUUCCAUCUCGUUUAUCUUUAUGGUAUCAAGUUUUCAUAUUCAUGCUUCAUAGUAUGACAAUAAUUUAUGAUCACAAUUCAUAUUGCACACAGCCUUGAUUCUACUGAGAGGUUUGCGCUCUGCGCUCUGUAAGCUUACAGGAUCAUUGGACUAAGGAUGACUCUUUAAAUGUAACUAUAUGACGCGGAGGGUUCUUUAAGUUAAAGUUUAAUAAGCAAGGUGCUUAAGCACAUGCCUUUGCAUACAGGUUUAUGAAAGCAUUGUAGUUUUUGAUCGUUUGUGGUGCCAUUCAUGUCACAUACUUUGGAACAAUGUAGUUGAGUUUGUGAGCUCCCCUAUUAAUUUUAAGUAAUAUGUCCCUGAUGUUGUAGCAAGCUUUGUUUGUUGGUUUUGACUAUAUAUUGGCACAUUACGAAUAAUUUGAGAUAACUGUUAAAGUUUGUAAGCCUGAUCAGUAUUCUUGUUUUUACAUUUAGAAAGUAUUGUUAGUUCAACAAAGGAACUCUAUUCAGUGGCUAUCUAGGAGACAGCCCAGCAGCUUAGCCAAAGAGAAGAGUUUGGUGAGAGAAACAUUUUCAUCGGUGGAGAUCAAAAUCCAGCAAAAUUGAAAAUUUGGAUUUUUGCUUAUUUCCUCUUCUAGCUUGAAGUAGAAGUGCUAUGCCCCGCCAAGGCAUUGACUUAGGAGGACUCGGAGCUGAGGCUUCAUUUUUGUUUUAUUGUUAUUUGUUGAAUGUAAGCCCAGGAUUGUAUUUGUGUUGAGUUGAAACUCCAUUUUGUGUAACCAAGAAUGUUCUUGGAUAAAUUUGUA